This 134-nucleotide ribosomal RNA is filed under the name Candidatus Uhrbacteria bacterium. RNAcentral describes it as "partial 16S ribosomal RNA". It matches the Rfam family "Bacterial small subunit ribosomal RNA", at positions 1393 to 1533 of the family's 1533-position model. Lineage: Bacteria; Candidatus Uhriibacteriota. The record is from RNAcentral.
CCCGUCACGUCAAGAGAGUCGGUAACACCCGAACGUCGCCGUAUGGCGGCGGAAGGUGAGAUCGAUGAUAAGGACUAAGUCGUAACAAGGCAUCCGUAGCGGAAGCUGUGGAUGGAUCACCUCCUUUCUAGGGA